GACGAACGCUGGCGGCGUGCUUAACACAUGCAAGUCGAACGGUGAAGCCUUCGGGUGGAUCAGUGGCGAACGGGUGAGUAACACGUGAGCAAUCUGCCCUUGACUCUGGGAUAACUUCGGGAAACCGGAGCUAAUACCGGAUAUGACAUCUGGCCGCAUGGUCUGGGUGUGGAAAGAUUUAUCGGUCAAGGAUGAGCUCGCGGCCUAUCAGCUUGUUGGUGGGGAAUGGCCCACCAAGGCGACGACGGGUAGCCGGCCUGAGAGGGCGACCGGCCACACUGGGACUGAGACACGGCCCAGACUCCUACGGGAGGCAGCAGUGGGGAAUAUUGCGCAAUGGGCGGAAGCCUGACGCAGCGACGCCGCGUGAGGGAUGAAGGCCUCGGUCGUAACCUAC
RNAcentral lists this ribosomal RNA (397 nucleotides) under uncultured bacterium. RNAcentral's name for it is "bacterial SSU rRNA". It matches the Rfam family "Bacterial small subunit ribosomal RNA", at positions 28 to 433 of the family's 1533-position model. The record is from RNAcentral.